RNAcentral lists this Y RNA (101 nucleotides) under Microcebus murinus (gray mouse lemur). RNAcentral describes it as "Y RNA (ENSMICG00000041493.1)". It matches the Rfam family "Y RNA". Rfam says of the family: Y RNAs are components of the Ro ribonucleoprotein particle (Ro RNP), in association with Ro60 and La proteins. The Y RNAs and Ro60 and La proteins are well conserved, but the function of the Ro RNP is not known. The record is from Rfam by way of RNAcentral. Lineage: Eukaryota; Metazoa; Chordata; Mammalia; Primates; Cheirogaleidae.
GGCUGGUCCGAGGCAGUGGUGUUUACAAUUAAUUGAUCACAACCACUUACAGAUUUCUUUGCUCCUUCUCCAUUCCUAUUGCUUCACUUGACUGGCCUUAA